GAUGAACGCUGGCGGCGUGCCUAAUACAUGCAAGUCGAACGAAACUUCUUUAUCACCGAGUGCUUGCACUCACCGAUAAAGAGUUGAGUGGCGAACGGGUGAGUAACACGUGGGCAACCUGCCCAAAAGAGGGGGAUAACACUUGGAAACAGGUGCUAAUACCGCAUAACCAUAGUUACCGCAUGGUAACUAUGUAAAAGGUGGCUAUACUACCGCUUUUGGAUGGGCCCGCGGCGCAUUAGCUAGUUGGUAGGGUAAAGGCUUACCAAGGCAAUGAUGCGUAGCCGAAUUGAGAGGUUGAUCGGCCACAUUGGGACUGAGACACGGCCCAAACUCCUACGGGAGGCAGCAGUAGGGAAUCUUCCACAAUGGGCGAAAGCCUGAUGGAGCAACGCCGCGUGGGUGAAGAAGGUCUUCGGAUCGUAAAACCCUGUUGUUAGAGAAGAAAGUGAGUGAGAGUAACUGUUCACGUUUCGACGGUAUCUAACCAGAAAGCCACUGCUAACUACGUG
Molecule: ribosomal RNA, 512 nt
Filed under: uncultured bacterium
Lineage: Bacteria
Description: partial 16S ribosomal RNA
Rfam family: Bacterial small subunit ribosomal RNA
Source: RNAcentral